RNAcentral lists this ribosomal RNA (253 nucleotides) under uncultured bacterium. Its description in RNAcentral is "partial 16S ribosomal RNA". It matches the Rfam family "Bacterial small subunit ribosomal RNA", at positions 524 to 776 of the family's 1533-position model. The record is from RNAcentral.
UACGUAGGGGGCUAGCGUUGUCCGGAAUCAUUGGGCGUAAAGCGUGCGUAGGCGGUUCGUUAAGUCUGUUGUGAAAGCCCCGGGCUCAACCUGGGAAUGGCAAUGGAUACUGGCGAGCUAGAGUGUGUCAGAGGAUGGUGGAAUUCCCGGUGUAGCGGUGAAAUGCGUAGAGAUCGGGAGGAACAUCAGUGGCGAAGGCGGCCAUCUGGGACAACACUGACGCUGAGGCACGAAAGCGUGGGGAGCAAACAGG